GUGGGGAAUAUUGGGCAAUGGGCGCAAGCCUGACCCAGCAACGCCGCGUGAAGGAAGAAGGCUUUCGGGUUGUAAACUUCUUUGACAGGGGACGAAACAAAUGACGGUACCCUGAAAACAAGCCACGGCUAACUACGUGCCAGCAGCCGCGGUAAUACGUAGGUGGCAAGCGUUAUCCGGAUUUACUGGGUGUAAAGGGCGUGUAGGCGGGAUUACAAGUCAGAUGUGAAAACUAUGGGCUCAACCCAUAGCCUGCAUUUGAAACUGUAGUUCUUGAGUGAUGGAGAGGCAGACGGAAUUCCUCGUGUAGCGGUGAAAUGCGUAGAUAUGAGGAGGAACACCAGUGGCGAAGGCGGUCUGCUGGACAUUAACUGACGCUGAGGCGCGAAAGCGUGGGGAGCAAACAGGAUUAGAUACCCGAGUAGUCC
RNAcentral lists this ribosomal RNA (428 nucleotides) under uncultured bacterium. RNAcentral describes it as "partial 16S ribosomal RNA". It matches the Rfam family "Bacterial small subunit ribosomal RNA", at positions 354 to 796 of the family's 1533-position model. The record is from RNAcentral.